RNAcentral lists this long non-coding RNA (510 nucleotides) under Homo sapiens (human). RNAcentral describes it as "HSALNT0205179". The record is from RNAcentral. Lineage: Eukaryota; Metazoa; Chordata; Mammalia; Primates; Hominidae.
AAAAGGACAUGGAUUAGAAGUAAAGGCAUUCUGUGUUCCAGUAGGAAUAUGCAUUGAGAAAAUAAGUAGCGAGAGAAGAUAAUUUGAUAGAAGUGACUGCAAUAAAGAGAAGAGAGACAGAUGUGGCUUUAAAGAAUUGAUGCAAGGCGUACAAAAGAUCUGAGGAUAUUCUGGGACAGAAAGGAAAUGCGAGUGGAAUGAGAAAGCUUGAAAACGGGUGAAAUAGAGGAGUGAAUGAGACUGGCGGCCCCAGAGGCAAUAGAAGUCAUUUAUUCUAAUGGAUAACGGCGAUGUGAUUAGUCUGAAAACAGUCUUCACUAGAACACUGGAAUCUUCCCUAGAAACAGAAGAAAAAAAGGGCAGGUAAAAGACAGUUUAAUGAUACAGGAAGAUUUUUCAGGGAAGAAAACAACUUAGGUAUAAAAGAGGAGGAGAUUGAAGAAUUAAAUUCUUACUGAAGAAGAAGGUUUUGAACAUCUGGCAAAUAAAUAAAUGUAAGAAAUUUUUAAA